GUGAGAAUGUCGGCUUGAGUAGCGAAAACAUUGGUGAGAAUCCAAUGCCCCGAAAGCCUAAGGUUUCCUUCGGAAGGCUCGUCCGCGGAGGGUAAGUCAGGACCUAAGGCGAGGCUGAGAAGCGUAGUUGAUGGACAACAGGUUAAUAUUCCUGUACUAUUAAUAAUCAUGGGCAAGGAGUGACGGAGCAGGCUAAGCUAGCCGGAUUCUGGUUACCGGUUUAAACGUUCAAAGUGUUGAUAAAUAGCGAAAAUAUUUUGAGCUGAGACGUGAAUACGUUAUGCUACGGCAUUUAAGUAGUUGAUGUCAUACUUCCAAGAAAAGCUUCCACUGUCAAGUUAUGAAUACCUGUACUGUAAACCGACACAGGUGGGUAAGUAGAGAAUACUAAGGGGCGCGAGAUAACUCUCUCUAAGGAACUCGGCAAAAUAGCCCCGUAACUUUGGGAGAAGGGGUACCUUGAGAAAGGUUGCAAUAAUCAGGUCCAAGCGACUGUUUACCAAAAACACAGGUCUCCGCUAAGUCGUAAGACGAUGUAUGGGGGCUGACGCCUGCCCAGUGCCGGAAGGUUAAAGAAGUCGGUUUUGCUGAUGACUGAAGCCCCGGUGAACGGCGGCCGUAACUAUAACGGUCCUAAGGUAGCGAAAUUCCUUGUCGGGUAAGUUCCGACCCGCACGAAAGGCGUAACGAUUUGGACACUGUCUCGGAGAGGGACUCGGCGAAAUAGACUUGUCUGUGAAGAUGCGGACUACCUGCACCUGGACAGAAAGACCCUAUGAAGCUUUACUGUAACUUGAAAUUGGCUCCGGGUUUUAUUCGCGCAGGAUAGGUGGGAGACUGUGAUCAUAUCUUUGCGGAGACUAUGUAGUCGUUGGUGAGAUACCACUCUUGUAAAACUAGGAUUCUAACUUUGCACCUUACAUCAGGUCAGAGAACAGUUUCAGGUGGGCAGUUUGACUGGGGCGGUCGCCUCCUAAAAGGUAACGGAGGCGCACAAAGGUUUCCUCAGAUCGGUCAGAAAUCGAUUGUAGAGCGUAAAGGCAUAUGGAAGCUUGACUGUGAGACUUACAAGUCGAACAGAGACGAAAGUCGGUCUUAGUGAUCUGACGGUUCUGAGUGGAAGGGCCGUCACUCAACGGAUAAAAGUUACUCUAGGGAUAACAGGCUGAUCUCCCCCAAGAGUUCACAUCGACGGGGAGGUUUGGCACCUCGAUGUCGGCUCAUCGCAUCCUGGGGCGGUAGUACGUCCCAAGGGUUGGGCUGUUCGCCCAUGAAAGCGGUACGCGAGCUGGGUUCAGAACGUCGUGAGACAGUUCGGUCCAUAUCCGGUGUGGGCGUUAGAGUAUUGAGAGGAUUCUUCUUUAGUACGAGAGGACCGAGAAGGACAAACCGCUGGUGUGCCAGUUAUUGUGCCAACAGUAAACGCUGGGUAGCUAAGUUUGGAAAGGAUAACCGCUGAAAGCAUCUAAGUGGGAAGCCCCCCUCAAGAUGAGUACUCUCAUCCUUUUGGAGUAAGGUCACGGCAAGACUAGCCGUUUGAUAGGCAUCAGGUCGAAGUUUAGUAAUAAAUGUAGCUGAGAUGUCCUAAUAGACCGAGGACUUGAAUUA
Molecule: ribosomal RNA, 1608 nt
Filed under: seawater metagenome
Description: bacterial LSU rRNA
Rfam family: Bacterial large subunit ribosomal RNA
Source: RNAcentral